RNAcentral lists this long non-coding RNA (1593 nucleotides) under Oncorhynchus mykiss (rainbow trout). RNAcentral's name for it is "lncRNA (ENSOMYG00000071872.1)". Lineage: Eukaryota; Metazoa; Chordata; Actinopteri; Salmoniformes; Salmonidae. The record is from RNAcentral.
AUGUGCCAUUUGGUUCACCAUUGGGCUGUCAAUUAUUGUUCCAUUGUCCGUUGGUCGUGUGAGUACCUGCGCUCCGUUUGUUUUGGCUCUCGUGCUGCGUGUGGUGCGCUUGUGUUCUCUUUUGUUUGCGUCUCAACCCUGUGUUUUGUGUGUACGUGUUUUGUUUGCGUCUCAACCCUGUGUUUUGUGUGUACGUGUUUUGUUUGCGUCUCAACCCUGUGUUUUGUGUGUACGUGUUUUGUUUGCGUCUCAACCCUGUGUUUUGUGUGUACGUGUUUUGUUUGCGUCUCAACCCUGUGUUUUGUGUGUACGUGUUUUGUUUGCGUCUCAACCCUGUGUUUUGUGUGUACGUGUUUUGUUUGCGUCUCAACCCUGUGUUUUGUGUGUACGUGUUUUGUUUGCGUCUCAACCCUGUGUUUUGUGUGUACGUGUUUUGUUUGCGUCUCAACCCUGUGUUUUGUGUGUACGUGUUUUGUUUGCGUCUCAACCCUGUGUUUUGUGUGUACGUGUUUUGUUUGCGUCUCAACCCUGUGUUUUGUGUGUACGUGUUUUGUUUGCGUCUCAACCCUGUGUUUUGUGUGUACGUGUUUUGUUUGCGUCUCAACCCUGUGUUUUGUGUGUACGUGUUUUGUUUGCGUCUCAACCCUGUGUUUUGUGUGUACGUGUUUUGUUUGCGUCUCAACCCUGUGUUUUGUGUGUACGUGUUUUGUUUGCGUCUCAACCCUGUGUUUUGUGUGUACGUGUUUUGUUUGCGUCUCAACCCUGUGUUUUGUGUGUACGUGUUUUGUUUGCGUCUCAACCCUGUGUUUUGUGUGUACGUGUUUUGUUUGCGUCUCAACCCUGUGUUUUGUGUGUACGUGUUUUGUUUGCGUCUCAACCCUGUGUUUUGUGUGUACGUGUUUUGUUUGCGUCUCAACCCUGUGUUUUGUGUGUACGUGUUUUGUUUGCGUCUCAACCCUGUGUUUUGUGUGUACGUGUUUUGUUUGCGUCUCAACCCUGUGUUUUGUGUGUACGUGUUUUGUUUGCGUCUCAACCCUGUGUUUUGUGUGUACGUGUUUUGUUUGCGUCUCAACCCUGUUUUGUGUGUACGUGUUUUGUUUGCGUCUCAACCCUGUGUUUUGUGUGUACGUGUUUUGUUUGCGUCUCAACCCUGUGUUUUGUGUGUACGUGUUUUGUUUGCGUCUCAACCCUGUGUUGUGUGUGUACGUGUUUUGUUUGCGUCUCAACCCUGUGUUUUGUGUGUACGUGUUUUGUUUGCGUCUCAACCCUGUGUUUUGUGUGUACGUGUUUUGUUUGCGUCUCAACCCUGUGUUUUGUGUGUACGUGUUUUGUUUGCGUCUCAACCCUGUGUUUUGUGUGUACGUGUUUUGUUUGCGUCUCAACCCUGUGUUUUGUGUGUACGUGUUUUGUUUGCGUCUCAACCCUGUGUUUUGUGUGUACGUGUUUUGUUUGCGUCUCAACCCUGUGUUUUGUGUGUACGUGUUUUGUGUGGCCUUCGUCCCCGUGCUUUUACAUGGCGCGCUGUCAUUUGGGUUAACGAAUAACCCUCUUACGCAUUCCUGCGCCUGUCUCCCGAUCCUCAUACCAACGUGA